GGUAGCGUGGCCGAGUGGUCUAAGGCGCUGGUUUAAGGCACCAGUCUCUUUGGAGGCGUGGGUUCAAAUCCCACCGCUGCCA
RNAcentral lists this transfer RNA (82 nucleotides) under Aplysia californica (California sea hare). RNAcentral describes it as "tRNA-Leu (AAG) (tRNA-Leu-AAG-2-1)". It matches the Rfam family "tRNA". Rfam says of the family: Transfer RNA (tRNA) molecules are approximately 80 nucleotides in length. The record is from RNAcentral. Lineage: Eukaryota; Metazoa; Mollusca; Gastropoda; Aplysiida; Aplysiidae.